UCAGACGAUGCGUCAUGCAUAUCAAUAAGCGGAGGAAAAGAAACUAACAAGGAUUCCCCUAGUAACGGCGAGUGAAGCGGGAAGAGCUCAAAUUUGAAAUCUUAAAGGGCUUUCCCUUUACGAAUUGUAGUUUAAAGAAGUGUUUUCUGUUGAGGUUUUGGUAAAAGUUCUUUGGAAUAGGACAUCAUAGAGGGUGAGAAUCCCGUAUUUGACCUUUACUUUCAACUUUGUGAUACACUUUCAAAGAGUCGGAUUGUUUGGGAAUGCAGUCCAAAAUGGGUGGUAAAUUUCAUCUAAAGCUAAAUAUUGGCGAGGAGACCGAUAGCGAACAAGUACCGUGAGGGAAAGAUGAAAAGAACUUUGAAAAGAGAGUUAAACAGUACGUGAAAUUGUCAAAAGGGAAGCGUUUGACACCAGUGUUGUCUUUCUGAAAAUCAAUUAAAGAACUGUUUAUGCUAAGUUGUUUAGACUUUAUCAGCUAUCUGUUUAGUUUUGAGCUUUUCUUUAAUGCACUUUUCAGUUAACAAGUCAACAUCAAUUUCUUUUGCUGUAAAAAAGCUUGAGGAAGGUGGCUUGAGAUUCGUCUUAAGUGUUUAUAGCCUCUUGCCUAUGCAGUCGGAGAGAUAUGAGGUCUGCAGCGUAGAUCCUUCGGGGCUAAAUGCAUUUGUGCUAAGUUAUAGCAUUUUAUAGACAACUUGUUGACUAUGAUUUGUCUUGUAGCUUACUCGCUUAUGUUAUUUACCUACGCUUAGGAUGUUGACACACGCGCGUGCUCG
This 776-nucleotide ribosomal RNA is filed under the name uncultured Neocallimastigales. Its description in RNAcentral is "partial large subunit ribosomal RNA". It matches the Rfam family "Eukaryotic large subunit ribosomal RNA", at positions 18 to 646 of the family's 3401-position model. The record is from RNAcentral. Lineage: Eukaryota; Fungi; Neocallimastigomycota; Neocallimastigomycetes; Neocallimastigales.